UGGGGCCCCAUAAUCAUUUGGUCCAGGACAGGCAGUAGGCGUCAGGGGGCGCCCUAAGGCUCCACGGCAUGUGCCUGUAUUGCUGGGACAUCGAGCCUUCCCAAGUCAACCCUGAAGGACCAAGACAACAUCAUCCUUCAGAGGUCACUGAGCGGCAGCUUGCAAAUAAACGUAUUCAGAAUAUGCAACACCUAAAGAAAGAGAAGAGGAGACUGAAUAAAAGGUUUUCAAGGCCUUCUCCUAUUCCAGAACCAGGACUCCUAUGGUCAUCUUGAUAAAGCAGGAGUCUAUUUGAAGGAAACCAUGCUCCAGACAGAAAUAUGUGGAUUGUGAACAUCAAGUGACAUAUCAUGAAUUGAUCAUCCACAAAAUAAAUGCAAUACUCCACCAUUUCGGAAAAAUAAACACAGUGCAAGUAUUUAAUAUCCAAGCUACAGGCUCUAGAAUUUUAUUAAAUGCCAUCUCUCACUACCAUAUUUUUCUUUCCUGUGGAGCAUUCCAGAUCAUCAUCCAGGGAAAAGGAUUAUAAGUAGAGC
RNAcentral lists this long non-coding RNA (536 nucleotides) under Homo sapiens (human). Its description in RNAcentral is "HSALNT0361833". The record is from RNAcentral. Lineage: Eukaryota; Metazoa; Chordata; Mammalia; Primates; Hominidae.